This 246-nucleotide transfer-messenger RNA is filed under the name Cryobacterium sp. RNAcentral describes it as "partial transfer-messenger RNA". It matches the Rfam family "transfer-messenger RNA", at positions 1 to 234 of the family's 374-position model. From Rfam's summary of the family: Bacterial tmRNA, also known as 10Sa RNA or SsrA, is named for its dual tRNA and mRNA-like properties. Its role is to liberate the mRNA from a stalled ribosome. Lineage: Bacteria; Bacillati; Actinomycetota; Actinomycetes; Micrococcales; Microbacteriaceae. The record is from RNAcentral.
GGGGAUGAUCGGUUUCGACAUUGCCUGAGUGAGUGUGAGAAGCGGGUCGAGGAUGCAGGGUUAUCUCGUAAACGAUCUCUGCGAAACAUAAGUGCCAAUUCAAAGCGCACUGACUUCGCCCUCGCUGCCUAAGCGAGCGCCAUAAAAGUCCGUCAGACCGGGAAUGCUCUCUACCCGGACUUCUGGCGUCAGCUAGAGAGCUUGCUGCGGCGUUACGUCCUAGGGCGUCGCGGGACGUGAACUAGG